Molecule: RNA transcript, 3254 nt
Organism: Pyrus x bretschneideri (Chinese white pear)
Lineage: Eukaryota; Viridiplantae; Streptophyta; Magnoliopsida; Rosales; Rosaceae
Gene name: rhodanese-like domain-containing protein 11, chloroplastic
Exons: 9
Source: RefSeq, a predicted model, not a curated record
GAUAUGAUGUUUGAGCUAUUAAGCUCUGUAGAGAUAUAUACAUAUACUUUGGAAAGAUUAUGUUCAAUGAUUUUUGUGCUUAUCUAGUGGUCAUUGUUUUGCCUACGGGUGAUGAUACUUAUAUAUGGCUUUAGCCGGGCGUAGGUUGGUGGUUUCGACCGAAAGAUACUUAUAUUGGCUUCGGCACGGGAGAUGUAGUGCCGGGCGGAAUGUCCUACCUACAGGCGUAUGUUCUGCCUACGAGCGUAUGAUCUACCUACAAGUGAAUGACCUGCCUUCGGGUGAUACUGAUGCCACUAUCUAGCACACUAUAUACAAUAUAUAUUUUAUUGAAAGGUUUUAUGGCAUGCUAGGGUUUUCGGAAAACCUAUUACAUACUAUACUAUGGAGUUUUAAUAAACUUUGGGGGUUAGUACAUUGUUGAAUAACUGUUUCAGUAUUACUUAUAUAUCAAUUUGGUCCAAUCAUGUUUUAUUUUGCACCCCCUCAGGACUUAGAUUCGAGGCGUACAAUCCCCGCGACAAGGCACUCCCGCAUCAGCAUCUUCAAAUCCUGUUGGUGUGUCGACCGCACAUGCUUACCCUAGUGUUUGGAGGAUAUCAGGGUCGGGCGUAUCAUUAACCAUACCUUAUUAAACUUUUAAUCUUUCCAUCUUUAAAUCCUCGAGUAAGUAAACACAUUCAUGUAUCCGAUUUGCAGCUGAAACUGUAAUUCAACUAUUAUGCUAGAAAUAAGAACAGAUUUGUGGUUCAACCAUCAUAUCAGCUGGUCUCUAAAGUUUUAAGAAAAAAAAAUACAUUAACUAACUAGCACUUUAAUCGAAGUUAUCAUCCCCAAUUUAGUCAAACCCAUGAGAUAACGUGUAGCUGACUUUAGAAUUUGACAAACACACCACCACAGAUCGGAACAAUGAGUUUUGUUGUUGCACAAAAUUAGUGAAGACUUUGGAACAAUGUAAAGUGUCAAGUUUGUAACCUUCGCUCGAUUGCUCCGGUCACUAGUGAGGAUAAAUAUGUAAAGAGAUAGAAAUAGGGAAGCAAACACAAGAUGCACGUGGUUCAUCCUAAGUUUGGCUAUGUCCAUGGCGUAGAGGAGUUCUCAUUAAUAGUGAAGGGUUUACAAAAAUAUAUAGGUGCAAGCAUAAUGAUCGUUAGUGAGUUCUAAUAACUAGUUUAAGUACAAUAAUGACAUUAGGGAUUCAUUGUAGGAGAAUGGUCUUCGUUUAUAGUAGAGGAGAGCAUCCAACUUUUAUCCGUGGUCGAUGUGGGACUUUAUGAGCUUUAUUCUGAGGUUGACAUGUGUUGUGCUUUGAUUGGCCUCCUGGUUGGAGGGAAACUCUUGUGCUUUGGCAGGGGUGCCUCAGCAUGAACCCCUUAGUGGAUCCUUGAAUGUAUGAAGUUGACCGGUGCUUAGCAAUUUUGGGAUUUGUAUGUAAAACUGAAACAAUCUUGAAACAAUUUUAAUACUUAAGAUCAACGCACAAACACAAUUGAAACCACCAACAACAACGACAAGCCAAUAAUUGCAGAAAUCAACAAUCUUGUGCAUACGAAACAAGAAACCCCUAAAUCUUAGGGUUACAGAUUUCAGAGAAUCAUAAAUAAUGCACAAAUCAAACACGCUGAGCAGAAAGAAACGAAAGAAUCAACAAAACCUAAUGCACGAAGGCGAUCAAGAACUCAGCAAUUCAACCAACGAAAAAACUAUCAAUAAAUCACUGACAAUCCAGUAUGAAAAAACAAAAAUCCAAUACACAACCGGAGAAGACGAAAAACUGAUGACCGGAGAUGUCACCGAACACAGAUCACAAAUGGAGAUGAGUAGCGAAAACAUAAAGGAUCGUCAAUCGGAGGCAUGAGCCACUCUCGGCGAAGAUACCAUGACAACAAUGUAAUUGAGAGCUAAGUAAACAAGAGAGAGAAAUUAAAGAGGGAAAGUUUGCUAAAACUGAAUAUUCUCUUUCAUUCAACCUGUGUAGAAUAAUUACAACUAUUAGUAUUUAUACAUUAGUAAAACACCUCUCUACUAACUAUCUAAGACCACUACCAAUAAUACAUAGACACUUGUCAUAAUCCUAUGCAGUCAUAAUCUCAUCAACUCUACCAACACCCUCUUGCUGAAGUUACCAUUUUGUAUGUAAAUUCUCCACCUUUUUCAUGUUCUAGUUGUUGGGUUUAUUGUAAUUUUAUAAUGUGGGUUCUUUUUCUUGAUGUUAACUUACCACUUUGUAUGUAAUUCUUCACUUUUUUUCAUGUUGUAAUUAUUAGGUUUGUUUUAUUUUAAUGUUUUUCGUGUUUUCUAAUGUGGAUUGUUCUUGUUGUUGAUGUUGAUCAUCGGAGGAGUACUGCCACUCGGAUGCAGGGUGACAGUGAAGAUUACGAGUUGAAGCAAAUGAGGGAUGUGGCUGCUGCCAAAAAGAGAUGGGAAGCUCUGGUAUGUCAGAAAAACCUUUUCUGGGUUCAAGGAGGCGUAGAGGCUGCUGAAGAAGAGUGAGUCUCAUCUUAUGUGGGAGCAGGAUCUUGCCAGAGAAGGCCCUCUGCCAUUUAAGUUUGCUGGAAUUGGUGGGCUUUUAGAAUUCCUUGGUUGGACAGAUCAGCAAAGAGCUGCAGCUGCCAAAGAAAAUUGGAGUUGCCGAUUAGUGUUCUCUGCCCGGCUGGCACAGGUCGGAGUCAUUCUCCUUGCCGAUGCCUUAUUUCCUGGUGCUCAGCAAUUAGGACGUUAUCUUCAGGAUAUACGAUCACUCUGAGGUUAAACACAUGUACUUGAAGUACUUGAUUGUAUAUCAAGAUACAACAUUUUGCAGUACUGGUUCACCAUAGAUAACAGAUUUGCCUCAGAAUGAAGAUUACACCAAUCAGGGUAAAGGAGGGGAAAACGGGAAGGAAAAUCAUAUAUCAUAGAGAAAAAAGGGAAACCGUGGUCUGGCGACAAGAAUCAGAUCGGCUAUCCUGUGCAUUGUGAUACCAAAAACUUCUGCCGGGUCCAAAUCUUUAGAUGUAGUACCUGGAGGAAGCUCCCAAUCAAAGCUAUGCAGAAGUUGAGCUAGAGCAAGCUCCGUGGUUGCUGUUCCGAACGUAAUACCUGGACAAACUCUUCUACCAGCCCCGAAAGCUUUCAGGUAGUCCAGCUGAGGCAGAUCACUCUCUAACACGACUCUUCUUUCUCCGACAACUCCUCGUACUUCUGCUUGCGCUCUUCCCAGUACUUUGGGGUUCAUCAAAAGCUCUGUCAUUCCCCAAUCGAGGGUGAUGAAA